This 545-nucleotide long non-coding RNA is filed under the name Bos indicus x Bos taurus (hybrid cattle). Its description in RNAcentral is "lncRNA (ENSBIXG00005015339.1)". The record is from RNAcentral. Lineage: Eukaryota; Metazoa; Chordata; Mammalia; Artiodactyla; Bovidae.
AUAUACUUUUAUCUCUGAAAGAUGCAAUUAAUUCAUUUUAAGACCUACUAUAUCUUUCCUCAUUGUGUUCAUGUUUCUUCAUGUUUCCCUUUAACUCCUUUAGUACGUUAAGUCCCCUACAUAGAAACCUUCAAUUUACAAACUUUCAAAGAUGUGAACGUGCAUUCACAUGUUCAAUCGUGUAAGUUAGUUCACAUGUCUGGCGUACGUUGUCAUGUACACGCAUCUUCUACAAAUGGUUGUGUACUUCACUGUACAGUACAGUAUACUGUAUGUCUUUAUUUCAAGCCCAGAAUGUCUGGAAGCAAGCAAAAACGCAGCAGUGUUAUAGCUGGUACUGCUAAGAAGCCCCAGAAAUUGGCAGUCCAGAGAAAGGACAAAGAGACAAGAGGAAGAGUUAUUUAUGAGAGGAAAGCAAGCUCACUAGCAGUCAUUCCAUUGGAGCCAGAAGCAGACCUCUACCGUAUGCAUUUCACAAGGUAAAGAGCAUUAAAUUGAUUUUACUGCGAGUAUUUGAGAGGGAGAUAAGGUUAGAUGAUACAUUC